This 849-nucleotide ribosomal RNA is filed under the name uncultured bacterium. RNAcentral describes it as "bacterial SSU rRNA". It matches the Rfam family "Bacterial small subunit ribosomal RNA", at positions 28 to 866 of the family's 1533-position model. The record is from RNAcentral.
AUUGAACGCUGGCGGCAUGCCUAACACAUGCAAGUCGAACGGUAACAGAACUAGCUUGCUAGUUGCUGACGAGUGGCGGACGGGUGAGUAAUGUAUAGGGAUCUGCCUAGUAGUGGGGGACAACAUGUGGAAACGCAUGCUAAUACCGCAUACGCUCUACGGAGGAAAGUGGGGGACCUUUCGGGGCCUCAUGCUACUAGAUGAACCUAUAUUGGAUUAGCUAGUUGGUAAGGUAAUGGCUUACCAAGGCGACGAUCCAUAGCUGGUUUGAGAGAAUGAUCAGCCACACUGGGACUGAGACACGGCCCAGACUCCUACGGGAGGCAGCAGUGGGGAAUAUUGCACAAUGGGCGCAAGCCUGAUGCAGCAAUGCCGCGUGUGUGAAGAAGGCCUUAGGGUUGUAAAGCACUUUCAGACGUGAGGAAAAGUUAUAAGUUAAUAACUUAUAACCUUGACGUUAACGUCAGAAGAAGGACCGGCUAACUCCGUGCCAGCAGCCGCGGUAAUACGGAGGGUCCAAGCGUUAAUCGGAAUUACUGGGCGUAAAGCGCGCGUAGGCGGAUAUUUAAGUCAGAUGUGAAAUCCCUGGGCUCAACCUAGGAACUGCAUUUGAUACUGGGUAUCUAGAGUAUGGUAGAGGUGAGUGGAAUUUCAGGUGUAGCGGUGAAAUGCGUAGAGAUCUGAAGGAACAUCAGUGGCGAAAGCGACUCACUGGGCCAUUACUGACGCUGAGGUGCGAAAGCGUGGGUAGCAAACAGGAUUAGAUACCCUGGUAGUCCACGCCCUAAACGAUGUCAACUAGGUGUAUGGGAGUUUAACUCCUGUGUAUCGAAGCUAACGCGAUAAGUU